AUUGAACGCUGGCGGCAUGCUUUACACAUGCAAGUCGAACGGCAGCGCGGGCUUCGGCCUGGCUGCGAGUGGCGAACGGGUGAGUAAUGCAUCGGAACGUGCCCAGUAGUGGGGGAUAGCCCGGCGAAAGCCGGAUUAAUACCGCAUACGACCUGAGGGUGAAAGCGGGGGACCGAAAGGCCUCGCGCUAUUGGAGCGGCCGAUGUCGGAUUAGCUAGUUGGUGGGGUAAAGGCUUACCAAGGCGACGAUCCGUAGCUGGUCUGAGAGGACGACCAGCCACACUGGGACUGAGACACGGCCCAGACUCCUACGGGAGGCAGCAGUGGGGAAUUUUGGACAAUGGGGGCAACCCUGAUCCAGCCAUGCCGCGUGCGGGAAGAAGGCCUUCGGGUUGUAAACCGCUUUUGUUCGGGAAGAAAACCUCUGGGCUAAUACCCCGGGGGGAUGACGGUACCGGAAGAAUAAGCACCGGCUAACUACGUG
Molecule: ribosomal RNA, 484 nt
Filed under: uncultured bacterium
Lineage: Bacteria
Description: partial 16S ribosomal RNA
Rfam family: Bacterial small subunit ribosomal RNA
Source: RNAcentral